This 5542-nucleotide long non-coding RNA is filed under the name Gossypium barbadense (sea-island cotton). RNAcentral's name for it is "long non-coding RNA (GBAR_LNC022172)". The record is from RNAcentral. Lineage: Eukaryota; Viridiplantae; Streptophyta; Magnoliopsida; Malvales; Malvaceae.
CGGUUUGGACGGGGAAAUUAUAUAACCCAGAUAGUUUUAGGGCUCAUAUGAAAAGUUUAUGGAAGACAAGGAAAAAGUUUGAAAUCAGAUUGGUGGGACGAAACUUAUUUCUAAUAAUUUUUGAGAUGGUAGAAGAUCUGGAGUUGAUUUUGGAGGGGAGACCUUGGCUCUUUCGUAAAAACUUAAUUUUAUUUGACAGGUUACGCCAAGCGGUGGAAAGAGAUCAGAUAAAGUUAACUUCAUCCCCGUUUUGGAUAAAAAUUGAGUCGUGUUUCCCAGAGUUCAACAAGAAAGAUCCAUUGCAUGCCAUUGGUUCUACGUUUGGUGGGGUCCUCAGAUCUGAAAUUAGUGAAGAUUUCUGCCGACUCAGAGUUAAUUUGGAUGUUCAAAGACCACUUAGAAGAGGUAUUUUUGUUUCUAAUGCUUAUGUUAGUAAAGUUUGGAUACCCUUCAAGUAUGAAAACUUGCCAAUAUUCUGUUUUGAAUGCGGAAGAAUGGGGCAUGGGAUGAGUAAUUGCACCCAGCUAUUACCUGCAAGAAAAAAUAAAAUCAGUGAAAAUCCUCCUUAUUUUGUGGCCUUAAAAGCAGAAUCAAGAUUAAUUGGAAAAGAAAGUGUGAAAUUUAAUAGUUUGAAGAAACAAACGGGGGUUCAGAGUUCUUAUAUCAGAGAAGAGAGAAUUUCACCCAAUAGUAUUAAAUGUGCUGAGAAUGGAAGCAAUGAAGAGGGGGCCUGCAGGAGAAUUUGAAAUUAAAAGAAGGGGAGGAGAUGCCAGAAGAACAGGAAGGUAUUUUGGAGGUAGAGGAAGCUGAGAAGGUGAAUUUAAAGGAAAGGGGGAAGAUGCUAAAAGAAUAUGCAGGUAUUUGGAGACAAGGGGAAGCUGAGAAGGUGAGUAAUUGUAAUAGAGAGAAGAGCCAAAAUCCAAAUCAAGAGAAACAAGCAAAAUGGAUAAGCAUUCAACAUGGCACAACAACGACAAAAGCUAGAAAUAAUACGAGGAAGAGGAAGCCCAUUGAUGCAGAUUUUACCAGCGAUCAUACAGGAAAAGGAGACAGAGAUGGAAUUAAAAGGUUGAAACAAGAUACUUCAGACUACUACAAAGGCCCUGUGGAAAUGGUGACAGACACUAACGAGCAAAUUGAAGUUCAAGAUUUAUUGAUAUCGGCGGCUGCUAAUAGGCAAACCGACCGGACGCAAUGAAAACCAUCAGCUGGAAUGUUCAUGAAUUGGGGAGUCCACGAGCUGGAAGAAGGCUGCGUUACUUCCUCAAGCAGCACAAUCCCCAAAUGGUUUUCUUAAUGGAGACCAAAGUUGAUAGACAGAGGAUGGAAAAAAUCGGACAGAGAUGCGGUUUUAUGAAUGGUAUUGAUAUAGAAGCACAAGGUUCGAAAGGAGGAUUAUGCUUAGCAUGGAAAGGUGACACCAAAGUAAGUUUACGAAGUUUUUCUAGGAAUCACAUUGAUGUUCUGGUUGAAGAGGAACAGGGUAACAAAGAGUGGAGAUUUACAGGUUUCUAUGGCUCUCCAUAUGUCCACAAUAAGAGUGAUUCGUGGGAUUUGCUGAUAAAUCUGGGGCAAGAUAACAGCCACCCAUGGUUGGUAAGUGGUGACUUCAAUGAGAUCAUGUAUUCUUUUGAGAAAUGUGGGGGUGCCCCAAGGGAAGAGAACAGAAUGAAGGCAUUUCGAGAGGUCGUAGAGAAUUGCCAUUUAGAAGAUUUGGGUUUUUCGGGAGUAUGGUUUACAUGGGAAAUGGGAAAUUUACCAGAGACAAAUAUUAGAGAAAGACUUGAUAGGGGGUGGUAAAUGAUAAAUGGAGGCUCUUUUUCCCAGCAGGUAGAGUUAACCAUCUACCCCACACAAUGUCAGACCACUGCCCACUUCUAAUUAACACAGAUGGCGAAAGCAUUCAUAAUGGCAAUUCAAAAUUUAAAUUUGAUGCGUGGUGGUUGAUGGAGGAUACUUGUGAAAAAAUAAUUAAAGAAUCUUGGGAGUCAGGAACAGGCCCAGUAGCUGAGAAACUUGGAAAGUUGCAAGCAGAUUUAUUAGAUUGGGCGAGAAAGAUUAAGAAAGGUCGGGAGGGGCUAAAGAAAAAGUUAACGAAGCAGCUAGAAGUGUUAAUGGGGAAAGAAAUGAAUGACAAUACAAUGGCAGACAUUGUAGACACUAAGAUCCACCUAAAUAUGGAAAUUGAUAAGGAUGAAAUAUAUUGGGAACAAAGAGCAAGGGCAAAUUGGCUGAAAGUGGGUGAUAAAAAUACAGUUUUUUUUCACAGGUUUGCUACUUCUAGAAGACGUAUAAAUUCAAUAUCCAAAUUGGAGAAAUCUGUGGGCGGAGAAGUAACUGAGGAGAGUGAGAUUAAUGAUGUGGCCACCUCCUAUUUUCAGGAACUUUUCACGACAAAAGGAAGGGCGGAAUGUUCAUAUCUCCUAUCGGGAAUAAAGGAAAAUAUUUCAUCUGAUAUCAAUAGAGAGCUAAUGUUAACCUUUACAGCAGAAGAAUUGUAUGCGGCAUUAAAGGAAAUAGGACCAACAAAAGCUCCAGGAUAUGAUGGUUUUCCAGCCAUUUUCUUUCAGAAAUUCUGGCAUAUCGUAGGUAAGGAAAUAACCAAUCUUUGCUUGGAAAUUUUAAAUAACGGUGCAAGUUUUGGUAAUUUAAAUCAUACCGACAUUGUGCUGAUCCCAAAAAUUCCAAAUCCCACUAGCAUAGUUAAUUUCAGACCUAUCAGUUUAUGUUCAGUAAUCUACAAAAUGGUGGCAAAAACAAUUGCAACUCGACUACAAGCAGUUAUUGGAAGAUGCAUUGAUGCUGCUCAAAGUGCGUUCAUCCCGGGAAGGCUAAUAACAGACAAUGUGAUACUAGCUUAUGAGAUCUUACAUACUUUUCGGCAAAAGUGCACAGGAAAAAAAGGAUACAUGGCAGUUAAACUUGACAUGAGCAAAGCCUAUGAUAGGGUUGAGUGGGGAUUCUUGAAGGAAGUGAUGUUACGAAUGGGCUUCACACCAGAGUGGGUUAAGCUGAUUAUGACUUGUGUUUCCACAACAUCCUAUGCAGUUAAUACAAAUGGUAGAAGUGGAAGAGUUUUUUCACCGUCUCGAGGCUUACGUCAAGGAGAUCCGCUGAGCCCCUUUCUUUUUCUGAUUUGUAGUGAGGGGUUAUCAUCUUUAAUGAGAUUGGCUUCUGAAAAGGGACUGAUAAAGGGUGCAAAAACAAGCAGAAGAGGACUAGAAAUUUCACUUCUACUCUUUGCAGAUGAUUGUAUGUUGUUUGGGGAAGCAUCUGAUAGGGGUGCCAGUAUACUAAAGGAAAUUUUGAAGGAAUAUGAAAAGUGUUCUGGACAGUGCGUUAAUUUCAACAAGUCUACCAUAUUUUUCAGCACCAAUACGUCAGAAGAAAAAAUGAAUGAAGUUUCAGCAAAAUUGGGGGUUAGGAUCUCAACAAACUUAGAACGAUAUCUAGGGCUUCCAAACAUGGUUGGUCGACGAAAGAAAAAAUCCUUUCAGCAUUUAAAAGAAAAGAUUGCUACCAGGAUUGAUGGGUGGAGUACUAGAAUGUUAUCUCAAGGAGGCAAAGAAGUCUUUAUUAAAUCGGUGUUACAGGCCAUUCCAACGUACGCUAUGUCAUGCUUCUUAUUACCAAAGACUCUUUGUGGAGAAUUUGAAAAUAUUUUUGCUAAAUUUUGGUGGCAAAAAACGCAUGGUAUGAGAGGUAUUCAUUGGUGUCAGUGGAAGUACUUAUGCCGUCCUAAAGAAGAAGGGUGGAUUGGGCUUUAGAAAUAUGGCUCAAUUUAAUGUUUCACUUUUAGCUAAGCAAGGAUGGCGUAUUAUAAACAAUCCAAAUUCUUUAGUUGCGCAAGUAUUAAAAGCGAAAUAUUUUCCAAGUGUUGAUUUUUUAAACUCACAGUUGGGGAAUAAUAUAUCGUAUACAUGGAAAAGUAUUUGGGCUGCUAAGGGCAUCCUAGCAGAGGGCUUAUGUUGGAAGGUGGGGCGAGGUACAAAAAUUUCAAUCAGUCGUGAUUAUUGGAUUCCAGUUUUACCGCGUGAUAGAUUACCAGUUUUAAGUUCAAAUUUGAAUGAUAGUAAAGUUGCAGAGCUAAUUGAUUCAAGUAGCAGAACAUGGAAACAAGAGUUGGUAGAGCAUACCUUUCCGGAGGAUGUAGCAGAGAAGAUCCUCAGUAUCCCACUAGCUGAAACACCGCACGAUGAUUUCCAAGUUUGAAGCGUUGAAGCGACGGGUGAGUUCACAACACGGAGCGCCUAUAAACUAUUACAAAGCAUUGAAAAUAACCCUGAAGCUUAUGCUUUACAAAAUGACUACAAGGACUUCUACAGAAAACUAUGGCUACUUGAUCUUCCUUCAAAAAUUAAAAUUACAGUUUGGAAGAUAUCUUGGAAUUUUCUAGCUACGCGAGCUAAUAUGCUACUUAGAAGACUGACGAACACGUCAGUAUGUCCUCGCUGUAGUUCAGGAACUGAAACUAUGGACCAUCUCUUCCGGGAAUGUCCUGCUACAAUAGCAGUAUGGAGAGAGUUAUCUUUUCAUAGGUUUUUGCAAGACAAUCAAAUGGGGUUUCUACAGUGGCUAACCUGGGUUUUCUCACAAAGCUCGACUCCUCAGCAUCGAAUCUUUUGUGUUGCAGUAUGGGCCAUCUAGGGAGACAGGAACAAUAGAUUGCAUAAAAAAGAUGGUAAAUCUGGAAAAGAAGUAGGGAGAUUUGUUCAUAGCUAUAUUUCAGAUCUUGAUGCAGUUGGUAAAAAUAGGUUGCAAUCUUCCAUACCUGUAAAAAUAUGGACAAAGCCAGUGGACAAGGUAGUCAAAAUCAAUUUCGAUGCAGCGUACGAUGGUAGACAAAGUAAAGCGGCUAUUGGGGUUGUGGCCCGCAAUAAGGAGGGUUCAGUUCUUCUAUCAUGUACGGAGGUUCAUCAAAGAGUUCCCUCAGCCUUUGGGGCGGAAGCAAUAGCGUGUCGGAAAGCCCUCCAAAUCGGUGUUAACAUGCAGUGGGAAAAAGUUAUUAUUGAAGGGGAUUCUUUAUCAAUAAUAAGAAAAUGUAAAACAAAAAGGCCCGAUAAAUCAUUGAUUAGUGCGUAUUUACAUGAUAUUCAUCAACUUCUGCUUAAAUUCAAUGAGUGUAGGUUUGAGCAUAUCCCAAGAUUAGCAAACAACCUUGCGCAUAUAUUAGCAAAUGAAGCGCUGAAGAGUAGUAGAGGAGCCUACCUGAUCGGACGAGUCCCUGAAGCGGCAGAAAUCCAAGCAGAAACUGAGAGGGCAAAAGAACCAGAUUGAAGGAAGAAAGCGAGAAAUGAAGGGAUGAGAGUAUAGAGAAGGGCAGACAUCAAAGUUAUUUCAGCAGCCCUAGAGUAAUCUCAAGCGUCUUGGAAAAGUAAAUAAAAUUGAAGAGAUAAGACGUUUGUAGUCUUUUAAGACUGAUUGGGCAGGUAGAAUAGUAAACAUUUAUUAGAAUCAGAUUUUGUUUCCUUUUUCUUUUCUAUAGGAGAUUUGGUUUUUCAAUUUUUGUCUUUUAAUUUUCUUUUGCUGGGCUCAAUUUUUU